CCCUCACCCGUCGAGCUCGAGUCAGCAGGAGCGCACCCUCACCAAGGACAGUGGUUAGAGAGAGGUCAGGAGAUAGAGGAGAGACAUCGCCGUCAGGCUCGAAGUCUAGCGGUCACUGGAGUUCACCAAAGUCAAGCGUGGUUUGUACAGACGUGAGAGGCAGUCGGUGUGUGCAGGGUGGCACAUCGGUGUCGCGAUGCCGCAUCAAGUCGUGGGCGGGUCUGCCAGCAUCCCCACCAACGGGUGCUUGGUAAGGUGAAAGGGAAGAAAAAUGAUGAAAGAUCCUCUAGGCCCACUCGAGACAGGUCGAGUAAGCAGACCAACAGCGGCCGUCAGAUCACUCAGUUGCUCCGGCCGAGGCCACUGCGACAUAGGACGCUGCCAUUGCAGAUCACGAGGCAGAUGAUGGGACCGAUCAGACGACAGCAGAUGAGGCGGAGGCAGAUGAAGUUUCGUCGGUCUCUAACGUUGAAGCCUCGGAAGAAAUUCGAUCACUGGCAAAUAAUAAAGCAGAAGGGGACCAGGAGUUGGGAUUGGGAUCUGUUGUAGAUUCUUCCACCCGAGCAUGAUGAGUGAGGCCGGUGGGACCAUAGCGGCUACUGUCUGGAGCUAUUGGAGCCAAAAGCACUAUGGCUACGACAGUUCCCACGUAGACACCGUGUGGGAAAGCUUCUGGGAACAAUAUCACUUGCUCGAUGAUAUGAGCCUUGACGAUCAGCACAUGCGAGAGGUUUUUAACAUCACUGCCCAAAUAGUUUUGAAGGACAUGAUGUAUGAUGCACGAGUCAAGGAGGUGGUCGUCUGGCAUAAGCUCCAGAAGACAAACAUGAGUAGAGAAGCGGCUAAGAAGAUACACCAGAUAGCUGCGCAGUAUAGGGAAAGUGAGGUGGAUUGGCUGAGCCAGCACCCGGAUGCUUGUCUCAGCUUGUGCGAUUACUGGGCUUUGGACGAGUUCAGAGCUCGAUAAAAUAGAAUUGUGGCCACCAGUUGAGUAAGCCAGAUCUCCACCACUUUGGCGCUGAUGGUCACACCGGCAAGGCUAAACGCCUAACAAGUUAAAUGAUUGUCAAUUUUAUUUCUUAAACAAAUUUGUGGACAUGUAAUCUUUUAUUGCAGGCUUCUCGAAAUAACAUCAAGCGUACCAUUGUCCAGACGUACAUAGCGGGGCAUAAGGGUCCAGAUCUGGAUCACCCAGAGAUUCUUUGCGACUAGAAUACGACACAAAAGUCGCUAUAUUGAAACCAUGAGAGAGAAACAUGGACCAGACGUCGACUGGAUGAUAGCUGACUUUGACACGGUGGUAGCUUAUGCGGCUGGUGGAGAUGUGCGACAUGGGAGGUUUAGGGUCCCUGUUGUAUAUAUUAUAACACUCUGUCCAGGUUUCCUAUCGACGUCGAUGUUGUGGGCCAUCGAAGUUAUAAGUAGGCAGUCAUCCUCAUUUGUGGGGACUAGUCGACCUCGACGAUCAUCUGCACAGGACGAGGAGAUGCAACAAAUACGGCAAGAGAUGCAACAAAUGCGACAACAAAUGCAAAUGAUGCAAUCACAACAUAUGUGUAUGCGGAUGCAUCAACAGAUAAUAGCUCAACUUUAAUUUAGUUAUUUGUCAGUUUUUC
Molecule: long non-coding RNA, 1616 nt
Organism: Zea mays
Lineage: Eukaryota; Viridiplantae; Streptophyta; Magnoliopsida; Poales; Poaceae
Exons: 7
Source: RefSeq, a predicted model, not a curated record